UAAUUUACCUGUAGAAUAAUAAGACUUUUCCUUUUUUUUAUGCCCCCCUUCGAAGAAGGGAGGGCAUAUUGCUUUGCUGCUGUCUGUCCGUCUGUCGGUCCGUCGGUCUGUCGGUCUGUCGGUCCAUUCAGUUUCCGUUCAUUUUCUUCAUAACCGUUGCCCAUACUGAAAUGAAAUUUGGUAUACAGAUAUAUCACAUGAAUAUCUAGGCCAAGUUCUGUUUUGGGUACGAUCGCACCAUUUUUGACAGAGUUAUGCCCCUUGGACUUGGAAAAAUUUCAAUUAUUUGCAGUUUCCGCUCAUUUUCUUUGCAACCGUUGCACAUACUGAAUUCAAAUUUGGUAUACAGAUAUAUCACAUGAAUAUCUAGGCCAAGUUCUGUUUUGGGUACGAUUGCACCAUUUUUGACAGAGUUAUGCCCCUUGGACUUGGAAAAAUUUCAAUUAUUUGCAGUUUCCGCUCAUUUUCUUUGCAACUGUUGCACAUACUGAAAUCAAAUUUGGUAUACAGAUAUAUCACAUAUAUAUCUAGGCCAAGUUCUGUUUUGGGUACGAUUGCACCAUUUUUGACAGAGUUAUGCCCCUUGCAGUUUGAAAAAAAUUCAAUUAUUUUCAGUUUCCACUCAUUUUCUUUGCAACCGUUGCACAUACUGAAAUCAAAUUUGGUAUACAGAUAUAUCACAUAUAUAUCUAGGCCAAGUUCUGUUUUGGGUACGAUUGCACCAUUUUUAACAGAGUUAUGCCCCUUUGCAGUUUGAAAAAAUUUCAAUUAUUUGCAGUUUCCGCUCAUUUUCUUUGCAACCGUUGCACAUACUGAAAUCAAAUUUGGUAUACAGAUAUAUCACAUGAAUAUCUAAGUCAAGUUCUGUUUUGGGUAAGAUCGCACCAUUUUUGACAGAGUUAUGCCCCUUGGAUUUGAAAAAAUUUCAAUUAUUUGCAGUUUCCGCUCAUUUUCUUUGCAACCGUUGCACAUACUGAAAUCAAAUUUGGUAUACAGAUAUAUCACAUGAAUAUCUAAGUCAAGUUCUGUUUUGGGUAAGAUCGCA
Molecule: long non-coding RNA, 1045 nt
Organism: Saccostrea cuccullata (small rock oyster)
Lineage: Eukaryota; Metazoa; Mollusca; Bivalvia; Ostreida; Ostreidae
Exons: 2
Source: RefSeq, a predicted model, not a curated record